Molecule: ribosomal RNA, 101 nt
Filed under: Eviota abax
Lineage: Eukaryota; Metazoa; Chordata; Actinopteri; Gobiiformes; Gobiidae
Description: partial 16S ribosomal RNA
Source: RNAcentral
UUCCUCAACAGCUAGCCCAACCCACACCCACCAACAAACCACAUUAAUAUCCUCUAAUGCACUUCCCCAAAACAUCAAACCAUUUUUCCACCCAAGUAUAG